RNAcentral lists this ribosomal RNA (434 nucleotides) under uncultured bacterium. RNAcentral describes it as "partial 16S ribosomal RNA". It matches the Rfam family "Bacterial small subunit ribosomal RNA", at positions 28 to 507 of the family's 1533-position model. The record is from RNAcentral.
GACGAACGCUGGCGGCGUGCCUAAUACAUGCAAGUCGAACGAACCUUUCAGGAUUUGGGGCUUCCGGGUUUAUAACCCGUCGGGACAUUCCCUUGUGGUUGGCCUACCUAAAGGAAACUUUUGCUUAUAGCGAAUGUGCCCUUCUGGGGGAAGAUUUUUUGCCGUUAGUGGGGCCCACGUCUGAUUAGCUAUUUGGUUGAGGUAAUGGCUCACCAAGGCGGCGUUCAGUAGCUGGUCUGAGAGGAUGAUCAGCCACCAUGGGACCGAGACACGGCACAAACUCCUACGGGAGGCAGCAGUGGGGAAUCUUGCGCAAUGGGCGAAAGCCUGACGCAGCCAUGCCGCGUGAAUGAUGAAGGUCUUAGGAUUGUAAAAUUCUUUCACCGGGGACGAUAAUGACGGUACCCGGAGAAGAAGCCACGGCUAACUUCGUG